RNAcentral lists this ribosomal RNA (478 nucleotides) under uncultured bacterium. Its description in RNAcentral is "partial 16S ribosomal RNA". It matches the Rfam family "Bacterial small subunit ribosomal RNA", at positions 28 to 523 of the family's 1533-position model. The record is from RNAcentral.
GACGAACGCUGGCGGCGUGCUUAACACAUGCAAGUCGAACGGCAAGGCCCUUCGUGGCACACGACUGGCGAACGGGUGAGUAACACGCGGGUGAUCUGCCCUGCACUUCGGGAUAAGCCUGCGAAACUGGGUCUAAUAUCGGAUCGGACACUGGGAUGCAUGGCCUGGGGUGGACAGCUUUUGCGGUGUGUGAUGGGCCCGCGGCCUAUCGGCUUGUUGGUGGGGUGAUGGACUACCAAGGGGAAGACGGGUAGCCGGCCUGAGAGGUUGACCGGCCACACUGGGACUGAGAUACGGCCCAGAGUCCUACGGGAGGCAGCAGUGGGGAAUAUUGCACAAUGGGCGCAAGCCUGAUGCAGCGACGCCGCGUGAGGGAUGACGGCCUUCGGGUUGUAAACCUCUUUCAGCACCGACGAAGCGCAAGUGACGGUAGGUGCAGAAGAAGGACCGGCCAACUACGUGCCAGCCGCCGCGGUAA